Long non-coding RNA from Mustela erminea (ermine), 4986 nucleotides. RefSeq lists it as uncharacterized. NCBI's taxonomy places the organism in Eukaryota, Metazoa, Chordata, Mammalia, Carnivora, Mustelidae. The record is from RefSeq and is a predicted model, not a curated record. The transcript has 4 exons.
ACUAAGCCACCCAGUCGCCCCCUUUUCGCCACUUUUUAAUUUUUUUUUUUUUUUCUGCUUUGUUUCCACACAUCUUGGAAAGCACUACACAGAUCAACAGGGCCUAGUUCUUGUGCACCAAGGUGUCUACAGAGCGAUCUCAAUGCAGGGCUUCUCAACCUAGCACUAUUCACAUUUUAGGUGAGAUCAUUCCCUGUUGUGGGGGUUGUCCUGUGCAUUCUAGGGCCUUUGGCAGCCUCCCUUGUCUCUACCCAUCACAUGCGAGUAGCAUCCUUUCCAAAUUGUGACAAUCAAAAAUGAUGCUAGACAUUGCCUAAUGUCUCCUGGGCGGGGCGAGGGGAGAGGGACAGGGCUUAGGAUGGGGGAGGGGACAAAGUGAGACUUGAAAACCACUGCCUUAAUGGAAUCAGUUAGGAAACACUGUGUGAAAUACUGGCAUGUUUUGCAUGCUGUAAUCAACAGGAAACUGAUUCCUAGAUCAAAAUCCAAAACAAAUUCCAAUCCAAAGGAGCACUUCUCAGUCCAUCAUUAAGGAAGAGAAUCUGUUAGCUUCAGUUUCAUUCUGAGCACAUUUGACACUUUUGAUCAUGAGACCCAAGACAGUCAUGUUUUGAGAAAUCCCAUGUAGAGCUUAGGAAAGUAAUCUAAAUAUUCUUGUUUGGUUUACAAGAAGACUAAUGGCCCCCUUCAGAUGUGUGUAAGGGGCUUCCAUGACGAAAGUUUUCUCAACAAUAGUAUAGUUGCCUGCCUUGGGUCAAAAUGAGGACUUUGGCUGCAGAGUACCAUGCUAUGUAUAUAUUUUAAUAGGUCUCUACAACAGCUGGUUCAGGUAGCGGUUUUUGCAUGAUCCUCCUGUAAGUUCUGGUGGAAGCAGUUCGGUAGAUCUGGGAGAUAUCAUUAUCUAUUCAUUCAUAUAAUAAAUGUUCUUGAAUUCCUCUCUAUGCCACACCCAGUGCGCAGCUGUAGGGAUACAGUGGUGCAUAAGACAGACCCCAUUUUCUGCACGGACAGAGCAGUCAAGGAGCUGGCCAGUGGCACAUAAAGACUGUUCUGACUGCCGUGGGAAGAACGGGCUUUUGGAGUGAGACAACACGGAGCAGCAUAGAUCUCAUUUCGAGUGCAGCAUUUUUAAAAAGCACCUACAUCCUCAAAAAUUAAAAAACAUUCUGGGCCCACCAUAAUUCUUGAUACUACAUUUGUUGAGCAAGUUCCAUCAUAGUCCUGAGGGCCCAGCAAAUAGCUGUUCCUCGAGCACGGGGUCUUGUACACAGGAGAUGGACCCUUGAUAGAGAGGCAGCCCAUUGUAACCUCUGCAAACUGGCUCUUGGAGAGGAAUCGUCUACAGUCAUAUCUAGGCUGCGCUAUUAACUCAUUGAACUUUGGCUCUUCCCAAAUGUCCGAAGCGAUCACAGAGCAGGAGGGGCAUCCUGGGAGGAGAGAAAGUGUGUACAUUGUGCUCUGUGCUUCACAAGGCAACCAGGUCAGCCGGAAGAGAUCAGGCCAUGAUGACUGCCAUCACGAGGAGCUCCUAGCUUUCUGAGUGGAGAACUAAAUACCAGAAAGGUGUGGUUCCUUCCUCAAAGAAUAGAUUUCCUUGUUGUGAAGCAGUGAUUUCCAAACUUUGAGGACAUACUAUUAACAAAUGUGUGUGUGUCUGUGUGUUCUUUGUGUACUACUGAAUUAACUAUCUAUGUGUGUUAUAAAAACACACAAAAUAGAAAUUAAGAAAGACUGAGAUGAACUGAACAGAAAUAGAAAUCUUUCUUUCUCCCUCUCUCCCUCUAGUGAAUUUUCCUACAUGGUGCCUGGGGUGUGACCAUCCUCCUUCCGAGAUUACCCUAAGUGACAAAAUACUGGGUGGUCAAAAUAUGUUGCUUCAGUGAACAAAAGGCAGUGAUGGAACUGAACCAUCACAAGAAGCUCCUGGAGGGGGACCCAGUUUCUCAUACUUAACUUUCUAUGCUCAAUUCUACUUUACUGGAAAAGGAAAGAAAGCCUUCCUGGGUAUCUGAUAACUAACGUGGAAUCCAGGUUUAUAUUAGGUUAUAUGAAUAACCUCAAUCUUUCUGUAAGUUCAAAGUGUCUAUUAAAUAUGUCUUUUGGGAUGUGAGACAAUGUCACUGCCCAAUUCUGUCACCUGCUCAGGAGAGUUGCUGACCCAGUGUGUAAGGGCCUGAAUGGAGGCCCAGCGCUGCCUGUGCCACUCCUGGCAGGGUGAGAGGGCACAGCCGUGCUCACAGAGCUGGGUCAGGCACCCUCACUAUGCAUGUGCGUAUGUACUCCAUGCAGUCCCAGUCUCGGAAACGUUCUGGGGCUUUCUCAACAAGUAGCCAAGCUGUGUAGUUCUAGCCAGCUCAUUCAUAAGGUUAUGACAUUGUGGGAAAGAAGCUCAACUGGGUUCUAGUCUCAGCUCUGCUCUGUGACCUUGGGCAAGUGCUUUAACGUCUUUCGACCUGUUUUCUCAUCUGUCCUGGGGGGAGCUGGUAUCGCACCAUCUGCCCCACAGGGUUAUCACCUAUGCAGGAAUUUUGAGAAUAACAAAACAUUGUACAAAUGAAGCCAUAAAGUAUUCAGAUCCAUGUGUUGAGGUCUUUCCAAGGCAUAAAGACAAACUUUUCCUACAAGUUUUGGAGCUGACUAUCCUGUGGAACUUUCUCUUAAGGAGCCCAGCUCAGAGGGAAAUUGGCUCCUGGUGGAUUUCUCAUCUGAACUCAGAGCCCUAGAGGCUUUAUAAGCCUAAAGAAUGAACCAAGCGGACUACGAUGACUUCUAAAAAUGUGGAUACAUUUCCAUACUCCCAGAUAAUGCCAAAAUUUCCAAGAGAUGUAAUUUUUUUUUGUUCGUCCAUUCCGCAAAUAUUUUCAGAACAUCUUACCUCUGAGAUAAAGUUAAAAAGCCCCCUCCCUCAAGGGCUCCUAUGCCAGUGAAUGAGGAAUGCAUGUAAACAAUCAUUGCCAUACCUGACAAAACCCACUGCAAGGUGUGAAUUAUGAAGAGCUUUGGAAUAUGGGGAGAUUUAAAUUUUGGGGAAUCAGAUUAAGUGACGUAUGGAAGAGUAGAAAUUCAGGCAUUGCCAGCAGGAAUGAAAGACAUCAAGAGAGAGGGAAUGAAGGGAAGACCAGGAGUUGGGUGAAGGUUGGAAAGGGGUAGGGAACAACAUGAUUUUCUGGGAGCUGUAAUGCACUCAGUAAGUCUUGACUGAAUUUCCAGGAAGAAGAGAGGGAGACAAUAAGCCCAGAAAGAAGGCAGAAGCCAGCUCAUGGUGGAAGUGGGACGCUGGGCAGAUCUUCUAGGCCAGCAGUACCUGAAAAGCUACUUGAAACAUUUUAUAUCAGAUUAGCAACAACCAUUUAUCUGUACACAUAUGAACAAAUAUUUUUACUUAUUAUGCAUUUAGCAUAUGCUAACACUCCUCUAAGAUACCAGAGUCAGUGUGACUACCAUGUUCCUACCCUCAUAAAGUGUAUGCCGAGGGUCAAAGACAGACACCAAAAAAUUAUUAAAGUGUAAUGAGUGUUAAGAUGGCCAUAGUAUUCUAUGCCACCAUAUCAUGUUGUUCAGAGAGGUCACUCUGACGACAGAAUAGGUCAGAUAAUUUUUCCUAUCCUCCUGGAAAAAUACCAACAGCUCAAGUUUUCUCCACUGACCUCAAGGUAUAAACCCAGCUGCUCUCUGAGAUGCUCAGUCAAGUUAUCAUUGACCCUCUGAAUUAAGGCAUGGGGAAUGGCCUGGUUAAGGUCAGCAACUUAAGGUUCUGUGUCAGAACCCAGAGCCAUAAGGUCAGAAUCAAAAGCUUAUACUGUGCUCUCAGCUGUGUUCCUGUUUGCCCAUGUGACCUUGGGCAAGUCACACCAUUCACUGGGUUUAAUAAUUUUAAGGAGAAUAAUAAAGUUCUUCUCAGAUUAAUGUUCCAAGACUCUAUGAAAGAGGGCUGGUAAUUGGAAUGUUCUAGCGAAUUCGUGUUUACAAAGGCUAGGGCUGUCUGUGUUAAUCUUUGUAAGAUCUACCCACCCAUGGACCGACAAUGAGAAGACAAUUUCUUAAAGUACUUUCUCUCUCUUUUUAAAAUUUUAAUUUCACUUUUUAAUUUGAGUUUUUAUUUUGAAGCAUUUUUUCCAUACUACUUGACCCCCAACACAGCCCUGCACGUCACACUGUCCUUUUUGUUGGACAGAAUUAAAUCAAACAGAUGGGGUUGCAAGGAACAAUCCAACCGAUGUGUACAUGUUGUCCUUAUACCUCACAGUAGGCUAUUAGCUCCCUCAGACUAGAUUUUGCCCUUCUCUUUUUUCACUCCAAAAGAUUGUAUGGGGCACAUCUCCGGAGGCAAGAAGAUAAUGCUUUCUCCAGGACCAGAAUAGCAAGCUACAUAGGAUAAGCUUUGAUGGGCACCAUAGCCCUUACCUCCCCAUCCUCAGUGUCUGUAAUUUCCAUGGCCAAGAUUAACACAUCCCCAUGAGUUCAAAGAAAUGACAUGACAACCAGAUAAUUGUGGCAAGGAUGAAAGGUAAGUUGAGGGUGGAGUAUUCCAGCAUUGCGUUCUGUCAUUCCCAGGAAAAAAAUGGUGGUGUACUUGUCAACAUGCCUAAAAACGAUGCCACUUAGAGGAUGACACAUAACUCAUAUGUUGUUCUACAUCUAUGAAACUCAUACAGUUUUCAAGCUGGGAGAUAAGAACAAAGGACAUAAAUGGCAUCACCUGUCAAGACUCACUACCGCUAUGUACACAUCACCUGUGCGUGCCUACCCUGACCUCAGCUAGAUGGCUAUCAAUUGAUAUAUGGGUUGUAGUCAAACAGUGCCUGAGGAGUCAUGAUGAAGGCUUCUCCUCCACAUGUUCAGUGGCUGAUUGAUCCUGGCCAUCAGCUGGAACCUCCACUGGGGCUGUUGGCCAGAACAUUUACACGUGAAUUCUCUGUGUGUUCUGGGCUUCCUCACAGCAUUGUGUCUGGCUUCCAAGAGCAAAUGUCUCAAGACACAAUAGAA